CAGCCGCCACGGGAAAACCAGCACCUCGAGUGGUCAGGAGGUUUAUUGGGCCUAAAGCAUCCGUAGCCGGUUGCAUAAGUUUUCGGUUAAAUCUAUGCGCUUAACGUAUAGGCCGCCGAAAAUACUGUGCAGCUAGGGAGUGGGAGAGGUACACGGUACUCGAUAGGAAGGGGUAAAAUCCUUUGAUCUAUUGAUGACCACCUGUGGCGAAGGCGGUGUACCAGAACACGUUCGACGGUGAGGGAUGAAAGCUGGGGGAGCAAACCGGAUUAGAUACCCCUGUAGUCCCUGUCUCUUAUAC
This 301-nucleotide ribosomal RNA is filed under the name uncultured bacterium. Its description in RNAcentral is "partial 16S ribosomal RNA". It matches the Rfam family "Archaeal small subunit ribosomal RNA", at positions 459 to 760 of the family's 1478-position model. The record is from RNAcentral.